CGGAGGAACCCUAGCCUCCAUCCGACUUAUAUACCCCCUCCUCCUCCCCGCAAUCCAUCUCUUCUCCUCCUCCCCGCCGCCGCCGCCGUCUCCUCCUACUCUUCGCCGCUCCCGCUCCCGCCGCCGCGCCACCGCCGUCAGCCAUGGCACCCAAGAAGGAGAAGGCCCCGGCGGCGUCGUCCAAGCCGGCCAAGUCCGGCGGCGGCAAGCAGAAGAAGAAGAAGUGGAGCAAGGGCAAGCAAAAGGAGAAGGUGAACAACGCGGUGCUGUUCGACCAGGCCACCUACGACAAGCUGCUCACCGAGGUGCCCAAGUACAAGCAGAUCACGCCCUCCGUCCUCUCCGAGCGCCUCAGGAUCAAUGGGUCUCUGGCUCGCAGGGCUAUCAAGGACCUGAUGGAGAGGGGACUCAUCAGGAUGGUGUCAAUCCACUCAAGCCAGCAGAUCUUCACCAGGGCGACAAACACCUGAUUUAUCAUUAUCAUGUGUUCCAUGUCUGUUUUUAGUCCAGUAGACUGAGGUGUUGCUGUUAUAUUCAAGUUCACUAUGUCCAGGGGGGCACACUGUGCCACCAGUAAUGUUGAAUUGCUUUUGAGUUUUGGUACACUUUGAGAUCGUUUUGUCAGCGCAAUGAAAUCUACCUUAUAUAUUGCCCUAUUUGCUGCUGUCCAUGCUCUACGGUUGUUCCUGGG
Molecule: ribosomal RNA, 691 nt
Filed under: Triticum aestivum (bread wheat)
Lineage: Eukaryota; Viridiplantae; Streptophyta; Magnoliopsida; Poales; Poaceae
Description: partial small subunit ribosomal RNA
Source: RNAcentral